AUUGAACGCUGGCGGCAGGCCUAACACAUGCAAGUCGAACGGUAACAGGAAACAGCUUGCUGUUUCGCUGACGAGUGGCGGACGGGUGAGUAAUGUCUGGGAAACUGCCUGAUGGAGGGGGGUAACUACUGGAAACGGUAGCUAAUACCGCAUAACGUCGCAAGACCAAAGAGGGGGACCUUCGGGCCUCUUGCCAUCGGAUGUGCCCAGAUGGGAUUAGCUAGUAGGUGGGGUAACGGCUCACCUAGGCGACGAUCCCUAGCUGGUCUGAGAGGAUGACCAGCCACACUGGAACUGAGACACGGUCCAGACUCCUACGGGAGGCAGCAGUGGGGAAUAUUGCACAAUGGGCGCAAGCCUGAUGCAGCCAUGCCGCGUGUAUGAAGAAGGCCUUCGGGUUGUAAAGUACUUUCAGCGGGGAGGAAGGGAGUAAAGUUAAUACCUUUGCUCAUUGACGUUACCCGCAGAAGAAGCACCGGCUAACUCCGUG
Molecule: ribosomal RNA, 490 nt
Filed under: uncultured bacterium
Lineage: Bacteria
Description: partial 16S ribosomal RNA
Rfam family: Bacterial small subunit ribosomal RNA
Source: RNAcentral